CAGGGGAUCUCUGCUGUUACGUGACACUUCCUACGGCACCCAUGGGCUCUCAGAAGGCGGCAAAAAGCUGAAUCGUGGCUUUGCAGGCCCUGGUUGAAAAACAUCAGCGCGUUUGGAUAGUGGCCGGUCACAGUACUAUGAGACUCAGGCUCGUGCACGAGGGGAUCCCAUGCUUUUAUUUUCUCUCUCUUUGUAUGUAAACACGCAUUCCCGGUCGGAACAUUAUCGCUUUUUUACGAGAAAAAUGGCAUAAAAAUGUAUUUUAAACAGCGGUUGACAUGCUUCGAAGUACGGUAAUGGAAUAUUUACAAAUUUUUUGUCACGAAAUGCGUCGUGCGCAUGACCCUUAUUUACACUUCGGAUAGUGUCUUGAACGCACGAAAAAAACGCCGCUAUUUGGAUAUAACUAUGGAUUAUUUUGAAGCAAACCAACAUUUGUUAUUGAAGUAGCAGUCCUGGGAGUGCAUUCUGACGAAGAACACCAAAGCGAGAGAACAGACACAGAGCUGGUGAAAAGAGGUGUAAUGUCACGCUUGUCGUUGGAAAUUGAGGACCAAAACGCAGCAGAAUUGACAGAAGACCCAAUGGUGGUGUCCGUGGCCUCGUGCUGAUCGACCAGAAAGAGUGGGAAGUGGUAUAAAUGGUGAGGGCCAAGAGUGACAUAUGGCUGUCCAAAAUAAAGCAGGCCAUUGAGGAGAACGAUGACACCUUUGCCAACGUGGCAUCCAUCGGCAUACCAACAAUCGCCCACCUUUUGAAGAGGCACCAGGUACUGUAUCUAUGAAACACAUUUACCUGUUGCCUUUUGAGAGAAACAACGACUGGGUGAAACAACUGUGGGCCAAGUAUGUUCAGCGGGCUUCAACCUGGUCAAAACUCGACGCCAUGGGCGGAACCUCGUCGGCCAACGGACGACCAUCCAAGUGUCUGGACAACAUGGGUGUAAUAUCUCCAUCUGCGCAGCUAUCGCUGAAGAUGGUAUGGUAGGACGUUGAAGGUGUACGUUCGCCAUUCCCAUGAGCGUGCCACCCUUCUGGCCAUGGAUGAGGCAUGUGACAACAUCAAUGAAGACCAAUGUCAAGCUCGGAUUCACCAAAAUAUUUUUCCAGCAGUACAUGAACAAUGAGGACAUUCACUGUGAUGUGGAUGAGAAUGUAUGGCCAAAUGCUCAAGACAGGCUUGAUGAAAGUUAAUGCGUGAUAAACAGUAGGUUUUAUUUUCAUUCAUUACAUUUAUUUCAUUUAAUUUCUUACAUUUGAAUACAGACAGUACACCUACUUUAUGUUGCAAUUCUAUCUGAAAAAAAAUCUCUAUAUAUUUGCAUGAAUGAUUGUAGAGAAUGUCUUCAUUGAGCACACCUUUGACUACACAUUGGAUAGAUAUUAUGGAAAUUAUAGAUUUUCUGUCAAUUUUGUUGGAUAAUGUAAGUGUAUUGCCUAAUGUGAAAACUGUGUAAUCUACUGCAAUUUACAGUACUGUUGCAUAUUACUUUCAGAACUUCUAAGGGCGAUUUGAAACACGUGUCUUGCAUCGUUUGCUAUUGC
Molecule: long non-coding RNA, 1544 nt
Filed under: Salmo salar (Atlantic salmon)
Lineage: Eukaryota; Metazoa; Chordata; Actinopteri; Salmoniformes; Salmonidae
Description: lncRNA (ENSSSAG00000084707.1)
Source: RNAcentral